UUUUAGCCGCAAUAGUAGUGGCAUCCUUUUGUAGUUUCGUUUUUUUACGAGACCACAAAAGAUAAAACGGAUAGCGGGGCACGAG
This 85-nucleotide small RNA is filed under the name Flavobacterium sp. 120. Its description in RNAcentral is "Flavo-1 RNA". It matches the Rfam family "Flavo-1 RNA". The record is from RNAcentral. Lineage: Bacteria; Pseudomonadati; Bacteroidota; Flavobacteriia; Flavobacteriales; Flavobacteriaceae.